CGAAGAACCUUACCAGGUCUUGACAUCCGAUGCUAUUUCUAGAGAUAGAAAGUUACUUCGGUACAUCGGUGACAGGUGGUGCAUGGUUGUCGUCAGCUCGUGUCGUGAGAUGUUGGGUUAAGUCCCGCAACGAGCGCAACCCCUAUUGUUAGUUGCCAUCAUUCAGUUGGGCACUCUAGCGAGACUGCCGGUAAUAAACCGGAGGAAGGUGGGGAUGACGUCAAAUCAUCAUGCCCCUUAUGACCUGGGCUACACACGUGCUACAAUGGUUGGUACAAAGGGUCGCGAACCCGCGAGGGGGAGCCAAUCCCAAAAAGCCGCUCUCAGUUCGGAUUGCAGGCUGCAACUCGCCUGCAUGAAGCCGGAAUCGCUAGUAAUCGCGGAUCAGCCAUGCCGCGGUGAAUACGUUCCCGGGCCUU
This 419-nucleotide ribosomal RNA is filed under the name uncultured Streptococcus sp. Its description in RNAcentral is "bacterial SSU rRNA". It matches the Rfam family "Bacterial small subunit ribosomal RNA", at positions 962 to 1382 of the family's 1533-position model. Lineage: Bacteria; Bacillati; Bacillota; Bacilli; Lactobacillales; Streptococcaceae. The record is from RNAcentral.